RNAcentral lists this microRNA (23 nucleotides) under Heliconius melpomene (postman butterfly). Its description in RNAcentral is "Hme-Mir-22-P2_5p* (star (passenger))". Lineage: Eukaryota; Metazoa; Arthropoda; Insecta; Lepidoptera; Nymphalidae. The record is from RNAcentral.
CGGCUCAUCGUAAGGCAGUUUGC